This 72-nucleotide transfer RNA is filed under the name Phrynosoma platyrhinos (Desert horned lizard). RNAcentral's name for it is "tRNA-OTHER". The record is from RNAcentral. Lineage: Eukaryota; Metazoa; Chordata; Lepidosauria; Squamata; Phrynosomatidae.
ACCAGCAUGGCACAGAGGUUUGAGUGUCGGACUACGACUCUGAAGACCAGGGUUCGAUUCCCAGCUCAGCUA